RNAcentral lists this ribosomal RNA (401 nucleotides) under Bacillus sp. AntCr17. RNAcentral's name for it is "bacterial SSU rRNA". It matches the Rfam family "Bacterial small subunit ribosomal RNA", at positions 1030 to 1432 of the family's 1533-position model. Lineage: Bacteria; Bacillati; Bacillota; Bacilli; Caryophanales; Bacillaceae. The record is from RNAcentral.
AGUGACAGGUGGUGCAUGGUUGUCGUCAGCUCGUGUCGUGAGAUGUUGGGUUAAGUCCCGCAACGAGCGCAACCCUUGAGCUUAGUUGCCAGCAUUAAGUUGGGCACUCUAAGGUGACUGCCGGUGACAAACCGGAGGAAGGUGGGGAUGACGUCAAAUCAUCAUGCCCCUUAUGACCUGGGCUACACACGUGCUACAAUGGACGGUACAAAGGGCUGCUAAACCGCGAGGUUUGCCCAAUCCCAUAAAACCGUUCUCAGUUCGGAUUGUAGGCUGCAACUCGCCUACAUGAAGCUGGAAUCGCUAGUAAUCGCGGAUCAGCAUGCCGCGGUGAAUACGUUCCCGGGUCUUGUACACACCGCCCGUCACACCACGAGAGUUUGUAACACCCGAAGUCGGUG